Molecule: long non-coding RNA, 2256 nt
Filed under: Jatropha curcas
Lineage: Eukaryota; Viridiplantae; Streptophyta; Magnoliopsida; Malpighiales; Euphorbiaceae
Description: long non-coding RNA (JCUR_LNC003348)
Source: RNAcentral
UCGUUUUUGCAGGUGGUGAUGCAUGUACUUUGAGUUCGAAUGAAAUUCCCAGAUCCUCAUGUCCUCCAUUUUCAUCCACUCCUCCUUUUCCUUUCUCUAUAUCGCCUGGCUGUGGUCAUCCUUCUUUUCAACUAAAAUGCUCUUUACCUUACUCUACUAUCUCCAUUAACGACUUUUCUUUCUCUGUUAUUGAAUUUGAACCCAACUCUUCCUCUCUCACUCUCUCUCCUCAAACCCAUCAUUCUUUUACAUCUACAGAAACUACAACUAACAGUAAUUGCUCUUCUCUUUCAAUUCCUACCCGUUCGAUCAAUCUCUCUGGUUCUCCAUUUCGAUUCUCCGAUUCUGAUUGUUCCCGUCUCUCUGUUGUUCGCUCUUGUUCCCCCCUGAAUCUUCCCAAUUGCAGCCAUUGUUCAUGGGAAUGCAAACUUAUUAAGAACCCAGUUCAGCUUCUCCAUGGUUGCGGAUCUAGUCAUCUACCUAUUUCUGAGCAAGGUUGCCAGCCGAACAUUUUAGAGUAUCUUGACCAGUUUCUAACAGUUGGGCUUCAUGUUGAAUACGAUGAAUCUCAAGAUUCUUACUUUUCUAGUUGCAGAGUGUGUAAAUCCAAGAAUGGUAUCUGUGGGUUCAAUUCUUCAGACCCGGAUAAGCGAUUCCUCUGUUUUCUGCCUAAAUCGCGAUUCUCGCCUCCAUGGAUUCACGAAGAUGAUGCAAAUCGAAUCGCGAUAUUAUGUUCAAUCUUCACGGUAUUAUGCUUAUUGCUUGCCGUUCUAGUUAUUGCAGCUAUUUACAGGUCUAAGCGUCUAAGAGCAUUAGCCUCGGAAGAAGACCCAACAAUACUAUUCCUUCACCGCCACCGCUCCGCGAGUCUACUUCCACCUGUAUUCACCUACGAGGAACUUGAAUCUUCAACAAAUCGGUUCGACCCAAAGCGAAAGAUUGGCGACGGCGGUUUCGGGUCUGUGUACUUAGGCCACCUCUACGAUGGCAGAGUUGUGGCUGUUAAAUACCUCCAUAAACAGCAACACCACCACGCGGCAGCUGCAGGCAAAGCAUUCUCUACCAAGUCAUUCUGCAAUGAAAUCCUGAUAUUAUCUUCAAUAGAUCAUCCAAAUCUGGUCAAGCUCUACGGGUACUGCAGCGACCCGAGAGGUCUACUUCUAGUAUAUGACUAUGUCCCGAAUGGCACUCUCGCUGACCAUCUGCACGGGCCAAAGGGCUUGCAUCGCAAAGGGCGUUUAACAUGGCAAGUAAGGCUCGACAUUGCAUUGCAAACGGCUCUAGCUUUAGAGUACUUGCAUUUCGCCGUCCAUCCGGCGAUCGUUCAUAGAGAUAUAACUUCUUCAAAUAUUUUUAUAGAGAAAGAUAUGAGAAUUAAAGUUGGAGACUUCGGACUUUCCAGGCUUCUGGUUUUUCCCGAAACGUCGUCAUCUUCGUCUGGUUACGUUUGGACCGGACCUCAAGGUACCCCUGGAUACUUGGAUCCGGAUUACCACCGGUCUUUCCGGUUAACCGAGAAAAGCGACGUGUAUAGUUUUGGGGUGGUUUUGUUAGAGUUGAUUUCUGGGUUGAAAGCGGUGGAUCAGAGUAGGGACAAAAGAGAGAUGGCGUUAGCGGAUUUAGUAGUAUCCAAGAUCCAAAUGGGUCAGCUCCAUCAAGUAGUGGACCCAGUAUUGAUUGUUGAAGGGGAGGCGAAGGAGAGUAUUUAUGCGGCGGCGGAGCUAGCGUUCCGCUGUGUGGCGGCGGAUAAGGAUGAUAGGCCAGAUUCGAAGGAGGUAGUGGAGGAGCUAGAGCGGAUCCGGAGUUGCACGCGUGGGUUUGGCGGGGCGAAUAAUUCGAAUGGAGGGGAAGGUGACGUGGCAAAAGGAUGAUUAAUUGAUUGAUUGAAGGAAGGGUUACGUGUAGUGUGAUGCUGUUUUUUUAAUAUCGUUUUUGCAGGUGGUGAUGCAUGUACUUUGAGUUCGAAUGAAAUUCCCAGAUCCUCAUGUCCUCCAUUUUCAUCCACUCCUCCUUUUCCUUUCUCUAUAUCGCCUGGCUGUGGUCAUCCUUCUUUUCAACUAAAAUGCUCUUUACCUUACUCUACUAUCUCCAUUAACGACUUUUCUUUCUCUGUUAUUGAAUUUGAACCCAACUCUUCCUCUCUCACUCUCUCUCCUCAAACCCAUCAUUCUUUUACAUCUACAGAAACUACAACUAACAGUAAUUGCUCUUCUCUUUCAAUUCCUACCCGUUCGAUCAAUCUCUCUGGUUCUCCAU